CUCCUCCUCUGAGUUCUGUCCAGGAAACUUCCCAUUCAGCCGAAAUUGUUACAAAGUUCAGCUGGAAGUUUCCUUUUCCCUGUGGUCUUUUCCCAGUUCCCCUGUGAGCCCUCCCCAAGGACCUCUGCAAGAUAAAGUCAGAAAUGGCUUCCCUGGGGACUGAGAGAGCCCACAGGGCUCUUUCCACUGCAUCUUCGACCCCUAUAUUUUGCUUGGCUCUCUAAAUUUGUCUGAUCUCCAGGUGAUAUGCCUACUCCCCCUUCACCUUCGAUCAUGAUUGUAAACUUCGUGAGGACAUCACCAAAGGCUGACAUUGGCAACAUGCUUCCUGUACAAUCUGCAGAACAACGAUGGAACAAAAUAAACACCUUUUCUUUAUAAAUUACCCGGCUUCAUGUAUUCCUUCAUAACAAUGCAAAGCAGCCUAAUACAAAUUGUCAGUGAGUAGGCAGAUUUUCAGAAUGUAUGGCUAAUUGGAAUUUCCAUGGUCCUAUAUGAGAAGAGAUUUGAAGUAAUUCCAUAGAAUGUUAUGAGCGCCCUGGGAGAAGAAAAAGGGUGAUUUUUCAGAAGGAAAAGAGUGUAAGAAAAACAUGAAAUUCAAUUUUCCAAUGACAGUUCUG
This 620-nucleotide long non-coding RNA is filed under the name Homo sapiens (human). RNAcentral's name for it is "HSALNT0085084". The record is from RNAcentral. Lineage: Eukaryota; Metazoa; Chordata; Mammalia; Primates; Hominidae.